RNAcentral lists this ribosomal RNA (362 nucleotides) under uncultured bacterium. Its description in RNAcentral is "bacterial SSU rRNA". It matches the Rfam family "Bacterial small subunit ribosomal RNA", at positions 29 to 416 of the family's 1533-position model. The record is from RNAcentral.
AGCGAACGCUGGCGGCAGGCUUAACACAUGCAAGUCGAGCGCCCGGAGCAAUCCGGGAGCGGCAGACGGGAGAGUAACACGUGGGAACGUACCCUUUGGUUCGGAAUAAUCCAGGGAAACUUGGACUAAUACCGGAUAAGCCCUUACGGGGAAAGAUUUAUCGCCAAAGGAUCGGCCCGCGUCUGAUUAGCUAGUUGGUGAGGUAACGGCUCACCAAGGCGACGAUCAGUAGCUGGUCUGAGAGGAUGAUCAGCCUCACUGGGACUGAGACACGGCCCCGACUCCUUCGGGAGGCAGCAAUGAGGGAUAUUGCACAAUGGGGGAAACCCUGAUGCAGCGACGCCGCGUGGGUGAGGAAGUCC